GACCCUACGGGACGCAGCAGUGAGGAAUAUUGGUAAAUGGGCGGGAGCCUGAACCAGCCAAGUCGCGUGAGGGAUGACGGCCCUAUGGGUUGUAAACCUCUUUUGCCGGGGAGAAACGUGCCGCACGUGUGCGGAUUGGAGAGUACCCGGAGAAAAAGCAUCGGCUAACUCCGUGCCAGCAGCCGCGGUAAUACGGAGGAUGCGAGCGUUAUCCGGAUUUAUUGGGUUUAAAGGGUGCGUAGGCGGACGCUUAAGUCAGCGGAAAAAUUGCGGGGCUCACCCUCGUCG
RNAcentral lists this ribosomal RNA (288 nucleotides) under uncultured bacterium. RNAcentral's name for it is "partial 16S ribosomal RNA". It matches the Rfam family "Bacterial small subunit ribosomal RNA", at positions 335 to 620 of the family's 1533-position model. The record is from RNAcentral.